GCGCGGUUCAAUUUUACUCUCAUCUCGUUCGCCGUUUCUUCACUUGACUCAAAACAAUGGAUUCCAUUGAAGAACUACUUGGUAAAACCCUAUACCUAGUGGUGUUGCGGGAUUGUAUGAUUAUGGUCCUCCUGGUUGUGCGAUGUCAUUGCCUUUUGGCGUCAGGGUGAUGUUUCAACCAAGGGUGGCGUGGAAGUACUACUUACGUGCUUGAGACUGAGAAGAGAAGGCAACAGAGAAUUGAGGAGUUGGCAGACAGCAAGUUAAAAAGAAGAGGUUGCUGAGGAAAACAUUGGCUUACCUAACAACAAGUCCCAGAAAAAGAAUGAGCUUAAGCAUGAGAUUGAUCAGGUCUCUGGUGAGCCCAACAAUUCCCUAACAGUGCUAAACUCAUAAUGCCAUCUAACACCAAUCUCAACAGAUUAACUCUGAUUUUUUAAAGAUAAAGGGCACUCUGGAUGCGAAGAAAGAGAGUUUAAAGGAUGGUGAAUCUGACACAUUGCGGCUCAGACAUUUACAAAUUGUGAAUUGGCAGCUGCAACAAAGAACUUCAAGACACAAUGUCUAGUGGGUGAAGGUGGUUUUGGUAGAGUUUAUAAAGGGAGAUUGGAGAGUACAAACCAGGGUGUUGCUUUCAAGAAACUUGAUCGCAAUGGAUUUCAAGGAAACAAGGAAUUCCUGGUUGAGGUUUUGAUGCUAAGUCUAGUAUUCUACUUCACCAUCCCAAUUUAGUCAAUCUAACAGGGUAUUGAGCCGAUGGACAUCAAAUGGCUUUAGGAUCUUUAGAAGAUCAUCUACAUGACCUUCCAGAUGUAAUGCUCGAGCAGGUAUCUUACAGCUACUUGAUGUCCAAUCCACCCGUUUUACGCAAGUAUGGAUUUCAUCUUGUUCUUGUGGGUAACACUAAAAUACAUCUGAUCAGAGGAAACAUGCAAUUCGGACUUAAUAGAGGGGUCUUCUGUUUACAAAGGAGACACUUGGAAGUAAAUAAAUGAUCAUGUUCAUUUUCAUAUGGGGAAGUGCUAUGUGUUCUUGAGUUAUUUGAUGUGGGCGCAAUCCAAACAUAUGUCAGAAAUCCUGGCAUGUAGUCACCAGUCUAUCGUGACCAAGAGUUAUUUGAAAGAGACUUUCUUCAAAUUGUUCAGAAAAUUGUGAAACUUCAGUUGCCGGUAACCUGCCCUCUCUGGAAGUCAUUUUUGAAGAUCAUCAAACUUUUGCUUCAUCUACUGCUGUUAAUGUUGAAGAAAGUGUGUGUCGGUCACUGGUGGAGGAUAUGGUUCCUUCAAUACCUACCAUGCGGUUUAAUUGGCUGGAAUGGCAACCUAAGUACUCAAGGAAACACAAGGAUUCUAAUAUCUGUGGAGCUGGAGGGACUGGCUCACUCACCACCGAGAUCCAUUAUUCAGCAUUUGCAUAUUUGUUUGGACACUAGUUGUGACAGAGAUCUGGAGAAGGUUUACGAAUCGGGUGUUUAUAUACAAGUUCGGAAUCUGGGUUUAAGGCAUUCGAUAAGAAUACGGCUGUAGGACUCAAACAUUUCAUAGUUAUGAUGCUAGCGACAAAGGAGGUGUUUAAUUAUGAGAUAAAUUGGGCGGUGGUUGACAAGUAUGUGUUGCAUUAGAUGAUGAGACCCUGGAUUUCAAAUAUUGCAAAAACAAAAAAAAAAAACUCAACAGCAAAAUUUCCUGAAUCCAUCAUAUCCAGUGCAAAUCCAAACAUCAAGUUGUAGAAGGCGGAAGGGAAGAAUUAUAUGCCCUCUGACAAUAACUUGCGUCAGCAAGAUCCAGUCUAGAACGGUGAGGAGAGUAGCGAUCAUGUUGAACGUGUGAUUCAAAGGAAUAGGUGCUACAGUUAUUCAUCAUUUUGGCGCCAGAUAAAAAUGUUCGACUUUGAGACGCUUCAUGAAGCAAACCGGUUAGGGAGUGCAAUUCCAAGAAAUAUAGUGAAGUUGUCCUCUUACGAGGUUGGUUGAUUGGGCCGUGUCUAGCAAGGUGAGACUCUUCCCCGCCGGAUGGUGUUUCUUCACGUUCACUGUCAGGAAGAGCUGCAUAUAGAUUGAGACCAUGGAUUUUCCGUGAGAUUUUGGAGUUUGUAUACGUCCAGAAGAAGCAGUUAUUCGUGUUGUUGACUAUAUUGUCUCGAGAAUCAAAGACCAUGCUAAUACAAAACAUAUUUUUUGGAGCUUGUCAAGCCUAGCUUGGAUGAUGGAUCUGAAAUUUUUGUGCUAAACUUGUGGAUGGAUGAAAGGAGGUUCAUUUAUGUCCUAGUGCUGAAUCCAUAUCCAGUUUGGCCAAUUUCAAAGCAUAGUUGUGCUCAAGUUUGUGUCUGUACCAGGACUUGAUCCCUUUUCGGUUAUUGACAGAGAGAGGUCAGUUAGAGAAAGGGUGCAAAUUUCAUAGUAUGGUGACAGGUUAAGUCAAAACUGUCAUUUUAUGAUUGUUGCAUUUGACUACGAGAACCUUUGCAAGCUGAAACAGAUUAAUGAAACAAAAGCAGAGCUUUUCUCUUGCGAGAUAAAGUGGGGUGUUUAUGAAAAGGGGAGCUGAAACUGAACUUGGUUAUUGCUGCAUACUUGUUGACUUUGGUGACAGCAGGAGUUGAAGAUGAACAUGCAGGAAGGUAUAUGGAUAGAGACUUUAUUGCUCAUUCGGCGGAUACAAGAGCAAAAUUGUUUUUUAGUCAAGUAAUGACCAAUUUGACAUUAUGUAAACCAAAAUUUGUUUGUGAUAGUAAUUUUUUUUUUAUUCUUAUUAUCUUUCUUUUUUUUUUAUGUAAAAAGUUAAUAUAUUAAAUCAAGCAAUAUA
Papaver somniferum (opium poppy) is the source of this 2804-nucleotide long non-coding RNA. RefSeq lists it as uncharacterized. The transcript has 14 exons. NCBI's taxonomy places the organism in Eukaryota, Viridiplantae, Streptophyta, Magnoliopsida, Ranunculales, Papaveraceae. The record is from RefSeq and is a predicted model, not a curated record.